UCGAGGGACCCGCUAAUCGUCGGAAGGAUCGUGGGCGAUGUCAUCGACUACUUCAACGCAUCGGCCCGGCUGAGGGUGUCGUAUGGCAACCGGGAGAUGACGGUCGGGUCCGAGCUAAGGCCGUCGCAGGUGGCGAACCAGCCCACGAUGCACAUCACAGGGAGAGCAGGAUCACCCUACACGCUCGUGAUGGUAGACCCUGAUGCACCGAGACCAAGCGACCCUUCCGAACGGAGUAUCUCCAUUGGUACGCUUGUCACAGACAUACCAGAAGGAGGUGACGUGGGCCGUGGAACCGAGGUGGUGGCGUACGAGAAGCCGCAGCCGAUAGCAGGGAUCCACCGUUUCGUAUUUGUGGUUUUCCGGCAGGCAGCACGGGAGGACAUCGCAGCACCAGGGUGGCGCUCCAACUUCAUCACAAGGGACUUGGCCGAGUGCUACAGCCUCGGCGCUCCAGUUGCCGCUGCCUACUUCAACUGCCAGAGGGAAGGCAGCUGCGGUGGCCAGAGGUGGUACAGGUGA
RNAcentral lists this ribosomal RNA (522 nucleotides) under Triticum aestivum (bread wheat). RNAcentral describes it as "partial small subunit ribosomal RNA". The record is from RNAcentral. Lineage: Eukaryota; Viridiplantae; Streptophyta; Magnoliopsida; Poales; Poaceae.